Molecule: long non-coding RNA, 2899 nt
Organism: Cebus imitator (Panamanian white-faced capuchin)
Lineage: Eukaryota; Metazoa; Chordata; Mammalia; Primates; Cebidae
Exons: 4
Source: RefSeq, a predicted model, not a curated record
UGUUUUACAUUUUGUUUUCCAGUGAGGCUUCCCAUCUCUCUGAACUAGCCCCAAACUUGUGUGGGUUCACUCCUCACAUACACAGAUCACAAUUUAGCCAAAAUUUCCAGGGAACCCCUACAUCAAUUUCCAGAACUUUCUCCCCGUGCAGUUUUCUUUCUGAUAUUCUGUCCUGCAAAUUUUAGCCAUCUAGGCCUCCCUGAACUUCAAUUUCAGUCUCCAGAACUCAGUGACACUACUGGGCUUUGUUUGGGCUCCCAUUGCCUGCAUUGCAACCCAGAAACUACCUCUAGGCAGUAAGCAGGGGUAAUUAUAGAGCUGACCUCAUUUGUUUCGCUUUUCUUUGUUCAACUGCAUGUUGUUCAAUGUCUAAAAAGAGUUGUUUCACCUAUGUCUUAGUUUUAAACAGUGAAAUGGCUAUUUCUACAGCAGUUAAUCCUUCAUGGGUAGAAUUAGAAGUCCACUAAAUGCCAAAUAUUUGAACUUGUAUGUCUUAAUCACAGUGCUGAUAAAUGGCCUUUGGUUGUAUAUUAAAAUGAAACUAAACAGAAUUCUACAUUAUUUGCUUAUAACAACCAAAGAACUUGUAUUUUAAAAUGAGUUUACUACUUAAUAAAGAUUGCCAAAGCUUAUAAGCCUGAGAACAGUAGUGCCAAGACCAACAAUUUUCAAUGGAGCUUAUGUCUGAAUCUCCUGUAAAACUUAAAAUUUCAGAUACCUGCCUUUACACCAUUAAAUCAAAACUUUAGGAGUCCAGGCAUAUAUGUUUUUUUAAAAGCUCCUUAUGUGGUUCUGAUAUUCCUUAUUAAGAACUAUUAUUCACUACUUUUCUAGACAAUAUUAUUACAAUUUGAGUAAAUAAAUUAUAGUUGGCCCUUAAACAACACGGAUUUGAACUGCAUAGGUUCACUUAUAUGUGGAUUUUCUUCUGCCUCUGCCACUAAGACAGCAAAACCAACCUUCCUUUUCCUCUUCCUCUUCAGCCUACUCAACAUGAAGACAGCAAGAAGGAUGAGGACCUUUAUGAUGAUCCACUUCCACUUACUUUUAUCACCAGAAAGGGACAUAGUGGAGCUGACAGAAAAUAUAGCUAUUACAAACAGAACAUCUCAUAAAUGAAGAAACCAUGAAUGAAAAUGACUAUUCUGAUUUCUUAAGGAAUAUCAGAAAUACUUACAAAGCAUUCUGCAGCAUCAUCCAUAAGGCCAAGUUGAAAUCGCUGCUCAUCUUUGAAGCUUUCUGCAAGAGCAUGCCUUAUGUUAUCUGAGGGAAGUGCUUUUUCUCGACUGUGUUGGAACUGUGCAAAUAUUGUCUGGGAAUCAACGAGAAAAUCAAUCUUUUUCAGGCAUACAAAAGGUGAAAGAAUUCAUCACCAAUAAACCUGUAUUACAAGAAAAAUCCUUCAAGCCAAAGAAAAGAAUAUCAGAUGGAAUGCGAUUUAUGCAAAAAAGUGAUGAGCACCAGAAAUGGCAACUUGGUAGAUAAGUAUAAGUAAAUAGUCUUCAUGGUAAAGGUCAGUGGAAUGCUCAUUUAAAGAAAAAAAAAUACAUCACCAUAGGAAUACUUCUCCAUGUUCUAACCCAUUUAAGUUUCCUUACUCCAAAUUGUCACCUGUUCUGUGUUUUGUUUCCCUGAACUAUAGUAUUUUGGGUGCCAAUGAAAAGGACAGAAACAGAGGGGAAAACAAAAGUGAAAAAGAAAAAGGGGUAAACAAAAAAAUAUCUGAAAUGCCAGAAACCCUUUCUCACAGCCUGAUUCAAUCAAAAGCAUUUAAUUCCAGGUCUUUUGGUAUCUAAUACUUCACUAUAUCCAGUGCCAUUGAAUAAAUAUUUUUCUGCAUUUGUGACAGUAAUGUCAGUGGGAUCUUUGAGCCAGGGCAGAACACUACUAUUUAAGUAUCCUAAAGUAAAUUACCAUGAAUGUUUUCUUAAUACCAACUGCUUCUCUUUCCCUGGGUGAGUUAGAGAACGUUCAAGUUUGGCAUCUGUUUCGGGUAAAGGGUAACUGAGAACAUAGCUCUGAGUCAGAUGUCUGUGCACUUAAUACAUUCUACAUUUAUCUGUCAAAUGAUCUAAUCAACCAAUAUUUUUCUCCAUUAUUUUUCAAAAGAAAAUACAUAUGAAAAGUGAAUCAUUACAUAUGAAUUCUUUCAUGGUAUAUUCUAAGCUCAAUAGAAAAAAUUAUCAAUAUUCUAAAUCUUCCUCAUCUUUAGUGCUCUACAAUGGUCAGAAGGACAUAGGAUCUACAAAAUCUAUGACUGCUGAAUAAAAACUAUAUUAUGCAUAAGAAAGUGUAUCAUUGUCUAAGGCAGAAAAGCAGGUUAAUUAAAAGAUUUUCAACAAGAAUUGAAGCAAAACAGAUUAUCCUUCAAUUUACCCAAAACAGUGUAGCCCAAAUGCUGAUUCUGCAGAGAUAAUUUAAGGACCACAGUGAAAGGUGAAGGAAGUUUGAGUACUGAGAUAAAAAAAACCUCUGCAUUCUCAUUUCAAUCCAAGCAGCUUAUGUCUUUUUAUUCUAUCUACAGAUAUCCAUAUACUGAAUUUUUUUAAAGGGAGGGGUGUUAGCUGACUAAAACAAAAAUGUUUAUGUAUCUUAGAAAAAUAUUAAUUUACUAAACAUUUUAAAUAAGAUUUAUAUCAUAGUGAUACAUCAAUCUGUUGAAACCAUUUCCAUUUAUUAUAAAAAUCGAAAUGACCAGCCAAAACAUUUUUGUUCCCAUUAAAAGUUAUAUUAAAAAGUCAUUCUAGUUUAUAAUUUUAUUUUUAAUUUAUGAGCUAAAGAAGCAUUAAACAAAGGAUUUUCUGAGAAGUAUUUUUUUUUAAUGAAGUAAUUAUGGUCUCACCUGUACAGCACUAUUAAGAAAGCAGCUGUUUUGUCCUGGUUCAUUUAACAAGCCUUU